This 65-nucleotide non-coding RNA is filed under the name Bilophila wadsworthia. Lineage: Bacteria; Pseudomonadati; Thermodesulfobacteriota; Desulfovibrionia; Desulfovibrionales; Desulfovibrionaceae. The record is from RNAcentral.
UAGCGAAACGGACCUGUGGAUCCGUCGUCGGGGCGUGGCGGCUCCGGCCUGAUGAGCAACCGAAC